RNAcentral lists this ribosomal RNA (207 nucleotides) under uncultured bacterium. RNAcentral describes it as "partial 16S ribosomal RNA". It matches the Rfam family "Bacterial small subunit ribosomal RNA", at positions 568 to 774 of the family's 1533-position model. The record is from RNAcentral.
CUCGUAGGCGGUUUGUCACGUCGGGAGUGAAAACACCGGGCUUAACUCGGUGCUUGCUUUCGAUACGGGCAGACUAGAGGUAUGCAGGGGAGAACGGAAUUCCUGGUGUAGCGGUGAAAUGCGCAGAUAUCAGGAGGAACACCGGUGGCGAAGGCGGUUCUCUGGGCAUUACCUGACGCUGAGGAGCGAAAGUGUGGGGAGCGAACA